GCAGCCAUGGCGGAAUUGGCAUACGCGCUAGCUUGAGGUGCUAGUUCCAGUAAUGGAUUGAGGGUUCAAGUCCCUCUGGCUGCACCA
RNAcentral lists this transfer RNA (87 nucleotides) under Clostridia bacterium. RNAcentral describes it as "tRNA-Leu". It matches the Rfam family "tRNA". Rfam says of the family: Transfer RNA (tRNA) molecules are approximately 80 nucleotides in length. Their secondary structure includes four short double-helical elements and three loops (D, anti-codon, and T loops). Lineage: Bacteria; Bacillati; Bacillota; Clostridia. RNAcentral also lists the same sequence under 1 other name. The record is from RNAcentral.